This 932-nucleotide ribosomal RNA is filed under the name uncultured bacterium. RNAcentral describes it as "bacterial SSU rRNA". It matches the Rfam family "Bacterial small subunit ribosomal RNA", at positions 78 to 1038 of the family's 1533-position model. The record is from RNAcentral.
AACACUUCGGGUGACGAGCGGCGAACGGCUGAGGAACACGUUAGUACCUGCCCCAAACUCAGGGAUAAGCCUUGGAAACGAGGUCUAAUACCGGAUGACCCAGUAAUGGGAAAGAUUUAUCGGUUUGGGAGGGGCUUGCGGCGUAUCAGAUAGUUGGUGAGGUAAAAGCUCACCAGGUCUAUGACGCGUAUCUGGUGUGAGAGCACGACCAGACAGAGUGGGACUGAGACACGGCCCACACUCCUACGGGAGGCAGCAGUGAGGAAUUUUCCACAAUGGGCGAAAGCCUGAUGGAGCAAUCCCGCGUGCAGGAUGACACCUUUCGGGGCGUAAACUGCUUUUCUGAAGGAAGAAGUUCUGACGGUACUUCAGGAAUAAAGGGCGGCUAACUAUGUGCCAGCAGCCGCGGUAAUACAUAGGCCCUAAGCGUUAUCCGGAAUCAUUGGGCGUAAAGCGUUCGAAGGCGGACUGUUAAGUGAGAUAUUAAAUACCUGCGGCUCAACCGAGGUGCUGUAUCUCAAACUGGCAGACUAGAGUAGUGCAGAGGAAGCUGGAAUUUCCAUUGUAGGGGUAAAAUCCGUAGAUAAUGGAAGGAACACCAAAAGCGAAGGCAGGCUUCUGGGCACUUACUGACGCUGCGCGAACGAAAGCGUGGGGAGCGAAAGGGAUUAGAUAGCCCUGUAGUCCACGCCGUAAACGAUGGAUACUCGGUGUAGGAGAGAAUCAACCCUCUUCUGUGCCUAAGCUAACGCGUUAAGUAUCCCGCCUGUGGAGUACGGUCGCAAGACUAAAACAUAAAGGAAUAGACGGGGAUCCACACAAGCGGUGGAGCAUCUGGUUUAAUUCGAUAAUACGCGAGGAACCUUACCCAGACUUGACAUCCUUCGAAUUUUCUAGAAAUAGAAAAGUGCCUUCGGGAAUGAAGUGACAGG